This 434-nucleotide ribosomal RNA is filed under the name uncultured Citrobacter sp. Its description in RNAcentral is "bacterial SSU rRNA". It matches the Rfam family "Bacterial small subunit ribosomal RNA", at positions 958 to 1392 of the family's 1533-position model. The record is from RNAcentral. Lineage: Bacteria; Pseudomonadati; Pseudomonadota; Gammaproteobacteria; Enterobacterales; Enterobacteriaceae.
AACGCGAAGAACCUUACCUACUCUUGACAUCCACGGAAUUUGGCAGAGAUGCCUUAGUGCCUUCGGGAACCGUGAGACAGGUGCUGCAUGGCUGUCGUCAGCUCGUGUUGUGAAAUGUUGGGUUAAGUCCCGCAACGAGCGCAACCCUUAUCCUUUGUUGCCAGCGAUUCGGUCGGGAACUCAAAGGAGACUGCCAGUGAUAAACUGGAGGAAGGUGGGGAUGACGUCAAGUCAUCAUGGCCCUUACGAGUAGGGCUACACACGUGCUACAAUGGCAUAUACAAAGAGAAGCGACCUCGCGAGAGCAAGCGGACCUCAUAAAGUAUGUCGUAGUCCGGAUUGGAGUCUGCAACUCGACUCCAUGAAGUCGGAAUCGCUAGUAAUCGUGGAUCAGAAUGCCACGGUGAAUACGUUCCCGGGUCUUGUACACACCG